UCUCAUGAUGACCGGGCCGAAGGCAUGAACCGAAAUUGUUCGCCAUCGAUAUCAAUUUUGAGAUCUCGAUCAGAAAAAAUUUCGUGUUUUUCAAAUGAACUGCACAAGACACAAACUUGAUAGAAAAAUAUGAACAAAAGUAGGAGAUCAAGAAACUAAAUCAAAAUCUUCAGCCUGUAACACCACUGGGAGCGUAUUGAACGUUUGUUUCCGUUACAUUUUUUAAUUCUGAAUAAUCUUGUGACAUCCGAAUAAAUAAUUAUAUUCAUC
Non-coding RNA from Caenorhabditis elegans, 270 nucleotides. Ensembl annotates it as ncRNA. Its record names the gene anr-21. The record is from Ensembl. NCBI's taxonomy places the organism in Eukaryota, Metazoa, Nematoda, Chromadorea, Rhabditida, Rhabditidae.